GCCGGUGUGAUGGAAUGGUAGACAUGCGUGACUCAAAAUCACGUUUCAGCAAUGGAGUGUCGGUUCGAGCCCGACCACCGGUACCA
Molecule: transfer RNA, 86 nt
Filed under: Oscillospiraceae bacterium
Lineage: Bacteria; Bacillati; Bacillota; Clostridia; Eubacteriales; Oscillospiraceae
Description: tRNA-Leu
Rfam family: tRNA
About the family: Transfer RNA (tRNA) molecules are approximately 80 nucleotides in length. Their secondary structure includes four short double-helical elements and three loops (D, anti-codon, and T loops).
Source: RNAcentral